AGAAUCAACGCUGGCGGCGUGCCUAACACAUGCAAGUCGCACGAGAAAGGGACUUCGGUCCUGAGUACAGUGGCGCACGGGUGAGUAAUACGUGAAUAAUCUACCUCCGAGUGGGGAAUAACUGAGAGAAAUCUUAGCUAAUACCGCAUAACACUUACGAGUCAAAGCAGCAAUGCGCUUGGAGAGGAGUUCGCGGCAGAUUAGUUAGUUGGCGGGGUAAUGGCCCACCAAGACGAUGAUCUGUAUCCGGCCUGAGAGGGCGCACGGACACACUGGAACUGAAACACGGUCCAGACUCCUACGGGAGGCAGCAGUGGGGAAUUUUGCGCAAUGGGGGAAACCCUGACGCAGCAACGCCGCGUGGAGGAUGAAAUAUCUUGGUAUGUAAACUCCUUUCGAUGGGGAAGAUAAUGACGGUACCCAUAGAAGAAGCCCCGGCUAACUUCGUGCCAGCAGCCGC
This 460-nucleotide ribosomal RNA is filed under the name uncultured bacterium. RNAcentral describes it as "SSU rRNA". It matches the Rfam family "Bacterial small subunit ribosomal RNA", at positions 26 to 518 of the family's 1533-position model. The record is from RNAcentral.